GAUGAAGAACGCAGCGAAAUGCGAUAAGUAAUGUGAAUUGCAGAAUUCAGUGAAUCAUCGAAUCUUUGAACGCACCUUGCACCCUUUGGUAUUCCGAAGGGUAUGCUCGUUUGAGUGUCAUUGUACUCUCACACUUCUAAUUCCUUUCGGGAUUGGGAGCGGUGGACUUGGGUGUUGCUGCUUUAGUUGUGGCUCACCUCAAAUAAGUUAGUGCAACUCUUGGUUGGACAUAGUACGGCGUGAUAAGUGUCUUCGCCGGCGCCUCUGUAAGGAGGGUGGCCGAUCGGGAGCUCUGUGCUUCAAUCCGUCUUCGGACAAUCUUUGACAACUUGACCUCAAAUCGAGUAGGACUACCCGCUGAACUUAAGCAUAUCAAUAAGCGGAGGA
This 387-nucleotide unclassified non-coding RNA is filed under the name soil metagenome. Its description in RNAcentral is "partial contains 5.8S ribosomal RNA, internal transcribed spacer 2, and large subunit ribosomal RNA". The stretch from base 1 to 120 matches the Rfam family "5.8S ribosomal RNA", at positions 35 to 154 of the family's 154-position model. The record is from RNAcentral.